Molecule: unclassified non-coding RNA, 19 nt
Filed under: Chlamydomonas reinhardtii
Lineage: Eukaryota; Viridiplantae; Chlorophyta; Chlorophyceae; Chlamydomonadales; Chlamydomonadaceae
Description: small RNA Cre_3272
Source: RNAcentral
UGGAUGAGGAUACCGAACC